Molecule: unclassified non-coding RNA, 2305 nt
Filed under: Hevea brasiliensis (rubber tree)
Lineage: Eukaryota; Viridiplantae; Streptophyta; Magnoliopsida; Malpighiales; Euphorbiaceae
Source: RNAcentral
CUAGAGUUUAUAGACAGUUUUCAAGCCAUAAGAAAAUAUGCGUAGACUGGAGGUUGAAUACAGGCUGCACGAAGUCAGCGAGGCAAAUCGCAGAUAACUAAACAAUGACUUAUUUUUGAAUGUUAAAAUGAUGAGGUAAUACUAUUGUUCAUAGAUACAAUUUGAUAUGUAAAUCUACCCAUGUUUGAUCCAAAGGAUAACAAAAUUCUGUCAAUUUCAUCUUUUACAACAUAUGUUUAAGCAAAGGUAUUCUUUCAACCUUCUUGGAGUAGCAAUAUUGCCAGUACAUAAAGGUCAACCAUACUGCAAAAAGUUGGAAGAUCUCCCUUUCUGAACCACUAACCUACUCUGCAUUUACUGGGUUGAAUGUCCUAGUCUGGUUCUUGCCGAGGCUACAUGACUCCUGCGUAUAUAAGUGCCAUAAACAUCAGUUUUGGGGAUACCUAACUGCAAGCAUGAACAAUAGUAGAAAAAAGUGGAAAGCAGAAGAAAGGGAAACUGACAUGAUGGGUUAAGCACAUGACUGCUAGAAGAAGACAAACAAUUUAAGCGAUUGGAAGACUGAUUUAUGAAAUAAAAAUGAAGAUGGAAUUGGAGGAUGAAGCUACUUUUAUAAAAAAAAAAUAAAGGAUUGGAAGCAAGAAUAUGGUAGGUUGGCUAACUAAAGAGCAAAUAACACAUACCACGUCACACAAGGACCCACUAAUUAGAUGGUGAACCAGCCAACUAUUCCUUUGCAAACUGCAAGCUUUACAUUGAAUGUCACUUAAAUAGGAAAAGAACAGAAGAAUACAGAAAACAAUAAUUCCACCUAAGUCUUAGCACAACUCUGUUGACUUCCUGAACCAGUGGCAAGAGUGGCAGAAUUUGAAGUUGCUGGUAUAGACUUAAAAGCUCCCAAAGCUUCCAGGAAGAACCUCUUAUUGGGGACAAUACCAUCUCUAUCCAUAUGUUUUAGCAGUUUCUGAACAAGCUCCUUCAUGUUGGCUUUAGUGUAAGCCUUAUAAAGGAGUUUAUAUGUUGAUGAAUCAGGUAGCACCCGAAAACUUCGUGCACUGUCAAAUAGUAAAUCUGCUUCCAUGGGCAAACCAUUCAUACAGUAAACAUCAAGCAUGGCAUUUAAGGUUGAAACUUUGAUCUCCUUUCCAGAUUCAACCAUAUCAUCAAAAAUAUCCCUAGCAUUUGAAACAGAGUCACAAAAUCCAUACAUCAUGAUAAGACUCUCAUAUGUGAUGAAACUUGGUGUGUAUUUCAUUUUGGUCAUCUUUUGAAAAACACCCUCUGCUUUCUCUUUCUGCCGUGCCUUCCCAUAGUUCAUUAUCAUGGAAUUGAAAGUAGGCAAAGUUGGUUUCUCUUUGGAAUGCAACAGGCUCUUAAAAACCUGCUCCAUCUUAUCAAAAUCUUGUUUCUUUCCAUAAGAGUCAAUCAGCAAAUUAAAUGUAAUAAUAUCAGGUUUACAUUGAUUACUUUUCAUCCGAGAAAGUACAGAUUCCAUUUCUCUUAUCAUUCCAUUUUUGCCAUAGGCAUCCAUCAUACCAUUAAAAGUAUAUAUAUCAGGGGAAACAAUACUUUGGUCAAGAUCUUUAAACAAAGCAUUAACUUGAUUCACAUUUUGAGCUUGAGCAAAAGCUCUCAAAAGAAUAUUGUAAGUCACGACAUUAGGCUGACAUCGUUCCAUACCUUUCAUUUUCUCAAAGUAACUAAGAGCUUUGGACAAAGCCUUUGCUUUAUCCUUGGAGUGGAGGUGGGCAGUGAUCAGUGCAUUAUAAACUGAAGUGUCUGGCCGGCACCCACUAUUACGCAUCUCAGAGAAAAGCCACAUAGCCAUCCGAGUUUGACCUUUCUUCCCCAUAACUGAUAUCAACUUCGAAUAAACACCACUAUCAGGUAUAUACCAACGUUGUUUCUGCAUCCAUCUGAACACCUCAAGGCACUGAAGCCAUUUGUCACGCUUGCCAAGCUCUUCAAAAAGCAAAAAACAAUGUUCAGUCCUUAAUAUUCUCACAUACUUAUCCAUUGUCCGCACCAACGGCACUUUAUCAGUGAAACUCCUCAUGAGAACCCGAACCAACUCUUCGGCCUCCGAUUUCUCGCUGAUGGGAACCGCUUUCUUCUUGGGUCGCGUCGAGACGCAUGAGAUGUGGGUACGGCGGAGAUGUUUCUGCUGACUCCAUAGAAGAGUAGGAUUGAGAAUUUGCGAAAAGUGCUGGGUGAAGGAAGAAGAUUUGAGAGUGGUGAGUUGCAGAGAGUGUGGCGAUAGAUUCAGUGGCAUCUCUCGACGCUUUUUUGCAGAAGUGGGAGUGCG